UACGGAGGAUCCGAGCGUUAUCCGGAUUUAUUGGGUUUAAAGGAUGCGCAGGCGGGGGAUUAAGUCGGCGGUGAAAUUUUGCAGCUCAACUGUAAAAGUGCCUUCGAAACUGGUUUCCUUGAGUGUAGAUGAAGUAGGCGGAAUUUGUGGUGUAGCGGUGAAAUGCAUAGAUAUCACGAGGAACUCCGAUUGCGCAGGCAGCUUACUAAACUACUACUGACGCUCAGGCACGAAGGCGUGGGGAUCAAACAGGAUUAGAUACCCCGGUAGUCCCU
Molecule: ribosomal RNA, 275 nt
Filed under: uncultured prokaryote
Description: partial 16S ribosomal RNA
Rfam family: Bacterial small subunit ribosomal RNA
Source: RNAcentral